This 437-nucleotide ribosomal RNA is filed under the name uncultured bacterium. RNAcentral's name for it is "partial 16S ribosomal RNA". It matches the Rfam family "Bacterial small subunit ribosomal RNA", at positions 341 to 792 of the family's 1533-position model. The record is from RNAcentral.
ACGGGAGGCAGCAGUGGGGAAUAUUGGGCAAUGGGCGGAAGCCUGACCCAGCAACGCCGCGUGAGGGAAGAAGGUUUUCGGAUUGUAAACCUCUGUCCUUGGUGACGAAGGAAGUGACGGUAGCCAAGGAGGAAGCCCCGGCUAACUACGUGCCAGCAGCCGCGAUAAUACGUAGGGGGCGAGCGUUGUCCGGAAUGACUGGGCGUAAAGGGCGUGUAGGCGGCGCUGUAAGUCCGGAGUGAAAGUCCUGCUUUCAAGGUGGGAAUUGCUUUGGAGACUGCAGAGCUUGAGUGCGGAAGAGGUAAGUGGAAUUCCCGGUGUAGCGGUGAAAUGCGUAGAGAUCGGGAGGAACACCAGUGGCGAAGGCGGCUUACUGGGCCGUAACUGACGCUGAGGCGCGAAAGAGUGGGGAGCGAACAGGAUUAGAUACCCUGGUA